ACACAUGCAAGUCGAACGGCAGCGGGUAGGAAGCUUGCUUCCUAUGCCGGCGAGUGGCGGACGGGUGAGGAGCGCAUCGGAAUCUACUCCGUCGUGGGGGAUAACGUAGGGAAACUUACGCUAAUACCGCAUACGACCUAAGGGUGAAAGUGGGGGACCGCAAGGCCUCACGCGAUGGAAUGAGCCGAUGUCCGAUUAGCUAGUUGGCGGGGUAAAGGCCCACCAAGGCGACGAUCGGUAGCUGGUCUGAGAGGAUGAUCAGCCACACUGGGACUGAGACACGGCCCAGACUCCUACGGGAGGCAGCAGUGGGGAAUAUUGGACAAUGGGCGAAAGCCUGAUCCAGCCAUGCCGCGUGGGUGAAGAAGGCCUUCGGGUUGUAAAGCCCUUUUGUUGGGGAAGAAAUCCUGCUGGCUAAUACCCGGCGGGGAUGACGGUACCCAAAGAAUAAGCACCGGCUAACUUCGUGCCAGCAGCCGCGGUAAUACGAAGGGUGCAAGCGUUACUCGGAAUUACUGGGCGUAAAGCGUGCGUAGGUGGUGGCUUAAGUCCGUUGUGAAAGCCCUGGGCUCAACCUGGGAAUUGCAGUGGAUACUGGGUCACUAGAGUGUGGUAGAGGGUGGCGGAAUUCCCGGUGUAGCAGUGAA
This 647-nucleotide ribosomal RNA is filed under the name Pseudoxanthomonas taiwanensis. RNAcentral's name for it is "bacterial SSU rRNA". It matches the Rfam family "Bacterial small subunit ribosomal RNA", at positions 51 to 685 of the family's 1533-position model. Lineage: Bacteria; Pseudomonadati; Pseudomonadota; Gammaproteobacteria; Lysobacterales; Lysobacteraceae. The record is from RNAcentral.